UGCCGUGGGCGCUGGAGAACUGAGGGGGGCUGCUCCUAGUACGAGAGGACCGGAGUGGACGCAUCACUGGUGUUCGGGUUGUCAUGCCAAUGGCACUGCCCGGUAGCUAAAUGCGGAAGAGAUAAGUGCUGAAAGCAUCUAAGCACGAAACUUGCCCCGAGAUGAGUUCUCCCUGACCCUUUAAGGGUCCUGAAGGAACGUUGAAGACGACGACGUUGAUAGGCCGGGUGUGUAAGCGCAGCGAUGCGUUGAGCUAACCGGUACUAAUGAACCGUGAGGCUUAACCUUACAACGCCGAAGGUGUUU
Molecule: ribosomal RNA, 306 nt
Filed under: Escherichia coli
Lineage: Bacteria; Pseudomonadati; Pseudomonadota; Gammaproteobacteria; Enterobacterales; Enterobacteriaceae
Description: partial 23S ribosomal RNA
Rfam family: Bacterial large subunit ribosomal RNA
Source: RNAcentral